Molecule: transfer RNA, 66 nt
Filed under: uncultured Paraprevotella sp.
Lineage: Bacteria; Pseudomonadati; Bacteroidota; Bacteroidia; Bacteroidales; Prevotellaceae
Rfam family: tRNA
About the family: Transfer RNA (tRNA) molecules are approximately 80 nucleotides in length. Their secondary structure includes four short double-helical elements and three loops (D, anti-codon, and T loops). Further hydrogen bonds mediate the characteristic L-shaped molecular structure. tRNAs have two regions of fundamental functional importance: the anti-codon, which is responsible for specific mRNA codon recognition, and the 3' end, to which the tRNAs corresponding amino acid is attached (by aminoacyl-tRNA synthetases). tRNAs cope with the degeneracy of the genetic code in two manners: having more than one tRNA (with a specific anti-codon) for a particular amino acid; and 'wobble' base-pairing, i.e. permitting non-standard base-pairing at the 3rd anti-codon position.
Source: RNAcentral
GGUAGUAACUCAGUGGUAGAGCGUUGGCUUCCCAAGCCAAAAGUCGCGGGUUCGAAUCCCGUCUAC